GUUUCCUACGGGGGGCAGCAGUGAGGAAUAUUGGUCAAUGGGAGAGAUCCUGAACCAGCCAAGCCGCGUGAGGGAAGACGGCCCUAUGGGUUGUAAACCUCUUUUGUCGGAGAACAAAACCCGGGACGAGUCCCGGAUUGCGUGUAUCCGAAGAAAAAGCAUCGGCUAACUCCGUGCCAGCAGCCGCGGUAAUACGGAGGAUGCGAGCGUUAUCCGGAUUUAUUGGGUUUAAAGGGUGCGUAGGCGGGUUAUCAAGUCAGCGGUAAAAUCGUGGAGCUCAACUCCAUCCAGCCGUUGAAACUGAU
This 305-nucleotide ribosomal RNA is filed under the name uncultured bacterium. Its description in RNAcentral is "bacterial SSU rRNA". It matches the Rfam family "Bacterial small subunit ribosomal RNA", at positions 334 to 637 of the family's 1533-position model. The record is from RNAcentral.